AUUGAACGCUGGCGGCAGGCCUAACACAUGCAAGUCGAACGGUAACAGGAAGCAGCUUGCUGCUUCGCUGACGAGUGGCGGACGGGUGAGUAAUUUCUGGGAAGCUGCCUGCUGGAGGGGGAUAACUACUGGAAACGGUAGCUAAUACCGCAUAAUGUCGCAAGACCAAAGAGGGGGACCUUCGGGCCUCUUGCCAUCUGAUGUGCCCAGAUGGGAUUAGCUUGUUGGUGGGGUAACGGCUCACCAAGGCGACGAUCCCUAGCUGGUCUGAGAGGAUGACCAGCCACACUGGGACUGAGACACGGUCCAGACUCCUACGGGAGGCAGCAGUGGGGAAUAUUGCACAAUGGGAGCAAGCCUGAUGCAGCCAUGCCGCGUGUAUGAAGAAGGCCUUCGGGUUGUAAAGUACUUUCAGCGGGGAGGAAGGGAGUAAAGUUAAUAACUUUGCUCAUUGACGUUACCAGAAGAAGAAGCACCGGCUAACUCCGUG
Molecule: ribosomal RNA, 490 nt
Filed under: uncultured bacterium
Lineage: Bacteria
Description: partial 16S ribosomal RNA
Rfam family: Bacterial small subunit ribosomal RNA
Source: RNAcentral